Long non-coding RNA from Tripterygium wilfordii, 679 nucleotides. RefSeq lists it as uncharacterized. Lineage: Eukaryota; Viridiplantae; Streptophyta; Magnoliopsida; Celastrales; Celastraceae. The record is from RefSeq and is a predicted model, not a curated record. The transcript has 3 exons.
UCAAGUAUCAAUGGCACAGGUAGCUAAUAUUUUGCUGCAAGUUUGUCUAGCUGAUGCUGCUACUCUGAAAUUUCUUGGUAUGACCGUGUAUCAGUUUUCUUACCUACAUUUGUUGAUCCAUGUUAGGUUUUAGGUCUUAAAAAAAGUUAUUUGAAGACAGCGUUGCAGAAACUGCAUUUGAAAUACCUUGAAAGCCAACGCCUUAAAUUGAAGUCACUCUGUUGCAGGGUAACUCAAGUACCAUGCACUUGAGCUAAACCAUGCUAGGCUUGCUUACUUGCUGAUGAAAUAAAGGGAUCCUUACACAUUUGCUUUGAAGUUUCUGGCCAAAGUACACAGAGAAAAUGAUAACUCAUCUGUCCCCUACAAGCAAUUUGCUGGUUGAACUAAACCAGAAGUGGUUCCACCUGCAUUUACACAAGAGGCUUCAGCUGGUUGGUUCUGGUACGUAAGCUUCACAUCUUCAAUUUUAAUACCACUGCAUGGACGGUUCUUGCUACAAUCCAACUUCACUGCAACCUCUGUUGCAGACGAUCCAUGGAUGUCCUGGCCCACAGUCUAUGUUCUCGAUCCAAACGUUGGUAGUACCAGGACCAACGGAGACACAAUCAUCGCCGGUUGCAAUCCUGGAAUUUAAGAUUGUGACACUCCUCGAUAACUGGACAUGAAUGCCAUCCGU